GGCACGAUCCUCUUGGUGUAGGUAAUUGGUGCUGCUGGAGACACAGAUUAAGUGGGGGAGAACAAGCCUCAAGCAGCUGGAUGUCUUUUUUUUUUUUUCAGUUUGGUGCCUUGGAGUAGCAGCCCUGCAGGUAUUGGUGUGUAGCUUUAGUGAGCAGGACUAGGAGAGUGCACCACCUUUGUUUCUGCUGUUGCCUAGAUUGAUCUUAGGUGUGAGGCUCUCAUGUCUGGUAAUUUUGAGUGAAGCCGCUGGUUGUUGUGGAGGUAGGUUCUGCUCAAUGAGAAGUUUUGGUGAGGUGUUCUUGGAAAAGUGGAUGCUAUUACAACACAAUUAUAUCUGCUCUGUAAUGAUGUUGCUGUCAUAGUUUUUUGAGUCUUUGCUGUUUGGAGACUCGGAAUUGAUUGUGGUGAUUUGUUCAUUCUCUUCUACUAGAUCUUGAAGCUACCGAUUUUGUUAUGUUGGUUAAGGGCUUCUUGUCUAGUAUGAAUGGUGUUUUGCUGGAAUGUGUGGUUGCUCUUAAGUUGUUUUUAGGAAGGGAAGCUGCAUUGUUCUGUAGUUUUCAUUUUGUGAGCCUUUUAUGUGCUCUUUAGUGCUCAAGAACCUAAGGUAUUUUGUAAUAGUGACAACACUAGAGUUUUCUUUUUCAAAUUUCUAAUAGCAUCUAACUUGUUGUUUUGGGUAUUUUUUACCAUUAAUUUCAAAGUUAUUGUUAUUAAUAUGUAUUCCUAUUAAAUAAAGAUGUUCCUAAUAAUAAAUAUAUAAUCUAGAUAUUCCUGAUUAUAAAAGUUUGCACCUUAUAUAAUUCUGACUAUUUGUUCCUGGGUUCACUCUGGCACACUGCAUGCAACAUAUAACAUACUAAAAGUGCCAUCUAGAAGAUCUGAAUAGUACCAAUUCAAAUAAAGCAUUUCGUUAAAUCUCUUUCUUUCAUGGACUAGAAUGAAAAAUCACUUACUUUUUUGGGAUUAUGUAAUUAAAGUGAUAGACAUCAAUGAGUGCUUGUAUAUCUUCAUGUUAAAUUGAUUACAAUACAAACAUCAAUGGUUUACUAACUAAGCUAUAGUGCAGAAGCAGUGUUAGCAAAAAAACCAGUAUGUCCACUUCAAUAAUGGUUUUUUCUUUUAACAGAAUAAAAGUAUCCUUGAUGAAUUGGGAAAGCUGUUUGAACUUUGAAACAAAUAUUUUGUAUAUGCCUGCUAAUAUUCUUUCUGAAGUUCUAUUAUGCACCCUAAGACAAGUAUUAGGAGAUUUGUUAUGUCUAAUAGCUACUUAGUUUUUCAUUUCCAUGCUGUUUUUUCAAGGUGACAAAACUUGUUGUAGUCGUGGAAGCUGAUUUAAAAUAAAAAACCGAGCAAAGCAUAAAGAAUGUCAACAAGUCAGAAAUAGAAUUAUGCAAGGAUAUAAACAAAAUUGAGGUAAGCCAAUCUAUUUCUUUUGACAACGAAUAGUAUAUAUAUUUGUUUUUUCUUUUAUAGGAAGAGUUUUCUUUUAAUUUUUCUAUAGGAAGAGUACUAGAUAAGACAUGAUAGUAUGAGGUUAUGUUGGGACAAGUCUGGUUAUGUUGUUGAUUUUGUUGUUAUUGCUGAUCUGUGGUUUGUGGUUAGUAUUUAACUGCUUGGAAGAAGUUUUUCUUUGAUAAUUUAUAUUUGUUUAUGCUGUGAACUAUAUUUACAGGACAUCUGUGGAAAUGAGUCUGAAUGAUUUCACUGGGAAGGUUAUACUGAUUGUGAAUGUUGCCUGACAAUGGUAACAUACUGUGUGUGUUCAGAAAGCUUAGAUCUUUGCUGGUGAAUGUGAAAUAAUCUCUACAGGGUAGGGAUAUUGUAAAGCUAGGGAUAUUGUAAAGCUAUAGUUUUCAGGGCUAGAGCAUAGGUUUUUAGGUUGGACUAUGCCACACAACAUUGUUUCUUAGUAAUAGAAACCGUUCUUAAGAAGAUAUAAUAUAAAUUGAUAUUAUCAAAGUCUGCACAAUGAGUUUCAUGAUGUUUGGCAUGAUUUUUUUAAUGUUAUUAAAUUGAAAAAUACAAGCUCAAUUGUAAAACUAACAGUUGUAUCAGGAAGCUUAUAGAAAAAACAAUAUUCAAUUUUCA
RNAcentral lists this long non-coding RNA (2090 nucleotides) under Phaseolus vulgaris (common bean). RNAcentral describes it as "long non-coding RNA (PVUL_LNC004277)". The record is from RNAcentral. Lineage: Eukaryota; Viridiplantae; Streptophyta; Magnoliopsida; Fabales; Fabaceae.